Molecule: long non-coding RNA, 1662 nt
Organism: Brienomyrus brachyistius
Lineage: Eukaryota; Metazoa; Chordata; Actinopteri; Osteoglossiformes; Mormyridae
Exons: 4
Source: RefSeq, a predicted model, not a curated record
GUUGCCAAAUAGUCUGAAAGACGCAAGGAAGCAGAUUACUGAAAUGUCAGCAAGGGAUUUGCCAUUAACACCAUGAAACACCUUAGAUCAGAUUAAAUAAGGCAGGCGCGUGCUGAACAUUACACUGCAUGAGCUACAGCUCAGCUUCUCCAUCUGCCAAAGCAAAGGGUUUCACGCAGCAGCCACCUAUAGCACUGCAUCAUUUCUUUCAGUCUUGAACGGCAGAGGAUGAGAGAAGCGGUCCAGCUGCGACCCGCAGACCGGCAUCUUCCAGACAAAGUGGAAAGUGAGGACGGCAGUUUGUCUGUACUGAGCACCCAGCGCACACAGCGAGCGGUGCACCAGCGCCAUAAUCAUUAGCGGUGCAAGAGCGCCACGACUUGGAUUGAACUAUCAAUUAGCAAGUCACGUCCAGAAAACGUUCUACUAGGCUCCAGAAUCAAUUAGCAAGUCACGUCCGGAAAGCGUUCCACUAGGCUCCAGAAUCAAUUAGCAAGUCACGUCCGGAAAGCGUUCCACUAGGCUCCAGAAUCAAUUAGCAAGUCACGUCCGGAAAGCGUUCCACUAGGCUCCAGAAUCAAUUAGCAAGUCACGUCCGGACAGCGUUCCACUAGGCUCCAGAAUCAAUUAGCAAGUCACGUUCGGAAAACGUUCCACUAGGCUCCAGAACAAUUAGCAAGUCACGUCCGGAAAACGUUCCACUAGGCUCCAGAAUCAAUUAGCAAGUCACGUUCGGAAAACGUUCCACUAGGCUCCAGAAUCAAUUAGCAAGUCACGUUCGGAAAACGUUCCACUAGGCUCCAGAAUCAAUUAGCAAGUCACGUUCGGAAAACGUUCCACUAGGCUCCAGAAUCAAUUAGCAAGUCACGUCCGGAAAGCGUUCCACUAGGCUCCAGAACAAUUAGCAAAUCGCGUCUGGAAAGUGUUCUACCAGGCUCCAGAAUCAAUUAGCAAGUCACGUCCGGAAAGCGUUCCACUAGGCUCCAGAACCAAUUAGCAAGUCACGUUUGGAAAGCGUUCCACUAGGCUCCAGAACCAAUUAGCAAGUCACGUUUGGAAAGCGUUCCACUAGGCUCCAGAACCAAUUAGCAAGUCACGUUUGGAAAGCGUUCCACUAGGCUCCAGAAUCAAUUAGCAAGUCACGUUUGGAAAGCGUUCCACUAAGCUCCAGAACCAAUUAGCAAGUCACGUUUGGAAAGCGUUCCACUAGGUUACAGAACCAAUUAGCAAGUCACGUUUGGAAAGCGUUCCACUAGGUUACAGAACCAAUUAGCAAGUCACGUUUGGAAAGCGUUCCACUAGGUUACAGAAUCAAUUAGCAAGUCACGUCCGGAAAGCGUUCCACUAGGUUACAGAAUCAAUUAGCAAGUCACGUCCGGAAAGCGUUCCACUAGGCUCCAGAAUCAAUUAGCAAGUCACGUCCGGAAAGCAUUCCACUAGGCUCCAGAAUCAAUUAGCAAGUCACGUUUGGAAAGCGUUCCACUAGGCUCCAGAACCAAUUAGCAAGUCACGUUUGGAAAGCGUUCCACUAGGCUCCAGAACCAAUUAGCAAGUAAUUCCCAGAAAGUGCUCCGCUAGGCUGCAGACAGCACUCUCGAUGAAAGGGUGGCCCGUAACUGCCACACUCAAGUACAGAGCCAGCUAGCUCGGACCUGUAAUAUC